UACAGAGGGUGCAAGCGUUGUUCGGAAUUAUUGGGCGUAAAGCGCGUGUAGGCGGCUUUGCAAGUCGGGUGUGAAAGCCCUCAGCUCAACUGAGGAAGUGCGCCCGAAACUGCAUGGCUUGAGUACCGGAGAGGAUGGCGGAAUUCCCCAAGUAGAGGUGAAAUUCGUAGAUAUGGGGAGGAACACCGGUGGCGAAGGCGGCCAUCUGGACGGAUACUGACGCUGAGACGCGAAAGCGUGGGUAGCAAACAGG
Molecule: ribosomal RNA, 253 nt
Filed under: uncultured bacterium
Lineage: Bacteria
Description: partial 16S ribosomal RNA
Rfam family: Bacterial small subunit ribosomal RNA
Source: RNAcentral